AACAGUUUGACAACACUCCGGUGCCAGGUUAUGACUAUCAAUCGAUUUUCAUUUUAUUACUACCGUACUUGGUUCCUAUUUAAGUUUCAAACAAGAUCUAAUUGACAUUUACUCACCAAGAUAACUCUUAUUCCAUAGUUAUAUUGGUCCAUCUUUCACUUUGUCAGAUAU
Molecule: small nucleolar RNA, 171 nt
Filed under: Naumovozyma dairenensis CBS 421
Lineage: Eukaryota; Fungi; Ascomycota; Saccharomycetes; Saccharomycetales; Saccharomycetaceae
Description: Small nucleolar RNA snR80
Rfam family: Small nucleolar RNA snR80
Source: Rfam by way of RNAcentral